AGCAGCCGCGGUAAUUCCAGCUCCAAUAGCGUAUAUUAAAGUUGUUGCAGUUAAAAAGCUCGUAGUUGAAUUUCGGGGUUCCACCGUUGGUCGGGCUAUUGUUUGUACUGGCGUGUGGAAUUUCUACCUUCUGGGGAACUAUCAUGUUAUUAAUUUAGCGUGGUAGGAAACCAGGACCUUUACCUUGAAAAAAUUAGAGUGUUCAAAGCAGGCUUAUGUCUGAAUACAUUAGCAUGGAAUAAUAAAAUAGGACGGUGGUCCUGUUUUGUUGGUUUCUGAAUCACCGUAAUGAUUAAUAGGGAUAGUUGGGGGCAUUAGUAUUCAAUUGUCAGAGGUGAAAUUCUUGGAUUUAUUGAAGACUAACUACUGCGAAAGCAUUUGCCAAGGAUGUUUUCAUUAAUCAAGAACGAAAGUUAGGGAUCGAAGACGAUCAGAUACCGUCGUAGUCUUAACCAUAAAACUAUGCCGACUAGGGAUCGGAUGAUGUUAAUUUUUUAAUGACUCAUUCGGCGCCUUAACG
Molecule: ribosomal RNA, 520 nt
Filed under: uncultured Scutellospora
Lineage: Eukaryota; Fungi; Glomeromycota; Glomeromycetes; Diversisporales; Gigasporaceae
Description: SSU rRNA
Rfam family: Eukaryotic small subunit ribosomal RNA
Source: RNAcentral